This is a long non-coding RNA of Cavia porcellus (domestic guinea pig), 1474 nucleotides long. RefSeq lists it as uncharacterized. The transcript is spliced from 2 exons. Lineage: Eukaryota; Metazoa; Chordata; Mammalia; Rodentia; Caviidae. The record is from RefSeq and is a predicted model, not a curated record.
UGUUCUGAAGAUUCACAUUUGGUGUUCUUCUCUGAGUUAUAGCUCUCAUCCUGGCAAUUGCUGGGUCCCUCCCACUCUCCCACUUCGCCUGCAUCAGAAGCGUUCUGUUCCCUCUGCUUCAUCUGCGGCCCGGGAGUGGUGUAGAGCAAGGCGCACGCUGCAGAGUGGGCUCGGCUGCCCCGGUGCUCCUUCCCUGCCUUUGUCUUCCGGUGGACUAGCUCAGCCUCAUUCUCACUUCCUUUUCUGCUCUACUGAUCAAAGCAGUCACAAGACCAGCCUGGUACUCAGAAGGGCAUUUGGCUUCUGGUAAAGAUGGUGGAUAGAUAAGAGCAAAAUACAGAGGUUCCCUGAGACAGACAACUCAGAUGCUGAAAUAACACAUCAUGGGAAGUCCCGGACAGAAGGAUAUGGAUCCUCUUGACCUAGAAAGAAACUAAAGCAAAAAGAACCAGUCAAACAUGCAGUCCUGGGGCAGCUAAGAUUCCGUGCUCUCAUGUGCCAGAAUUCCCACCACUUCGACUCACUGGAACCGCAGUCACACUGAAGUGCAGCUGCACUGACAUCAGAGGUUGGCAAGCCCAAUGGAGAAUGGAGCCAGCAAGGGACCUGUACUGACCUGCGGUGAGUGCCAGGAAUAAAACCCUUCCGUGGGGAAGGGGCACAGAUGAGAAGACAUUUUGGAAUUGGGCACGACUGCCAAGAUCAAGGAACAGCAGUGUUCAGUCAGUUGUUCCCUUCCAAAAUGAGAUUGGUGGGGUAUACUUGGCCUGGGUCAUGCCCCUGGCUGAGACCAAAUUAGUUCUCCCAAACCAAUUCCCUAUGCACAGCACACACUAAUGCAGUGAAGACCUCAGCAGGUUGACUGACCUGGAGAGGAGGAGCCAGCAUAUGCUGCCCCUGUUUGCACCACAAUAACACACUGGAGUGGGCAGGAUUAUCUAGCCAGAGCACUUAAGAAGAACCAUAACCAACAAGGAAAGGGACUGGGACCUCCUCUAUAUGCCUGUAUGGAAGAAACCAAAAACAUGAGAAGAGGAAGCAACAAGAAAAAGUCCUCAGCUCCUAUCCCUGAGAACAUUGAUCCACGAGAGGUAAAUACAAAAGAGAUUGAGGACAGCAAACAUGCAAUAUCAGACACAGCAUCAGUGGACAUUAAGAGACAUCUUUGGGACCUCAUAGAUGAGUUCAAAAGUGAAAUAUUUAACCAAGUAAAGCAAGAUGUAAGUAGACUAAUAAAAGAAAUGCUAAGCACCUCUCAAGAAGACACAGAUAGAAGAAUGGAGGAGCACAAAAAAGGGAGAGAAACAUUUGAUGAAGAAUAUAAAGAAAACAUAGAAUACAUGAAGCAGGUUCAGAGAGAUUACCAGGAAAUAAAAAACUCCAUUGAAAGCUGGCAAAACUGCUUGAAAGAAACUAAGGACAGAUUAUCCAAACUGGAAAACAGGUUUGCAAUGUGUAAUCAUGAAAGGAAAAA